UGUCAUCUUAUUAUUAUUAUUGGAGUCAGUGGGUAGUAGCCCCAAAAUAAACGGUGGGUACAAAGAACAACCCUCCAUGUAUUAUUGCGUUUAUCAUCUCUUGGGUAUCCCGCAGCAUACCUUAAAACAUGGCCGGAAGUCCAGUUGCCACCGUCGUACCACCACUUGCCCAGAGUGUUCAAGAAAUGUCUGUGAAUGGGAAUGAGCCACCCCCACAAUACUUCCUUAAAGAAAACAGUAUCCAGCCUAUGGAUUCGUAUCUGCCAUCAGAUCCAAUUCCCAUCAUCGACAUCAGUCUCCUCUCCUCUUCGUCGCUAUCUUCUAAAGGAGGAGAAGAAGAGCUACAGAAAUUUAAAUCAACUCUCACUUCAUGGGGCUGCUUUCAGGCGGUAGGCCAUGGACUUUCAAGUUCAUUUCUGGAUAAAGUACGGGAAGUUGGAAAGCAAUUCUUUGCACUUCCGGUGGAAGAGAAAGAAAAGUACUCUAGGGCAACUGAUGGCAUCGAAGGUUAUGGGAAUGACCCUAUUCUUUCAGAGAAUCAAGUGCUUGACUGGUCAUAUCGCUUGUUUCUCAGGCUACAACCAGUGGAUCAAAGAAAGCUUCGACUUUGGCCAGAGAACCCAACUGAGUUUAGAGAGGUCUUAGAUGAAUAUGGCACAAAGGUAAAGAUUAUAAUGGAUGUUCUCUUUAAGGCCAUGGCAAAGUCACUGAAUCUGGAAGAGAAUAGCUUCUCAAGUCGAUUUGGAGAGCGAGCAGUGAUGCAGACAAGGUUUAAUUUCUAUCUGAGUUGUCCGAGGCCUGAUCUGGUUCUUGGUGUUAAACCUCAUUCAGAUAGAUCAGGAAUCACUGUCCUUCUGCAAGACAAAGAAGUAGAAGGUCUUCAAGUUUUCAAAGAUGAUAAAUGGUUUAAGGUUCCUGUAAUUCCCCACGCUCUUGUUGUCAACCUUGGGGAUCAGAUGCAGAUAAUGAGUAAUGGAAUAUUCAAGAGCCCCAUACACAGGGUUGUGACAAACUCAGAAAGGAUGAGGAUAUCAGUAGCUAUGUUUAAUGAACCUGAGCCAGAGAAGGAAAUUGGACCGGUGGAGGGCUUGAUAGAUGAGAAAAGGCCAAGAUUAUAUAGAGACGUGAAAAAUUAUGCUUCUUUCAACUUUGAGUGCUUUCAAAAAGGGGUGGUACCACUUGAAUCAGCAAAAAUAUGAGUCUCAAUUCUCAUUGUCUUCAUAUCCUCUGUUUUUCCAGAAAAGGAGGUGAUCUUCACUAUACAUCAACCAUCUAAUUAACAAUAUGCCAAUCUUGAAGUGCUAAUUGGAUCAUUGACCUACCCGUGAAUUCGAGGCUCAAUCCAUCCAGAAAGAACAGUCAUCAUCAACAUAUUGCAUAUGGGUGCUCCUAUCAGCAAUUGAAAAAGAAGAAUGAAAAGAUGACAAAAAGAUGAAGAUGGCUCUUAUGUGAAGUCAUAAAACAAUUCUUGAAACCUAUAAGGGAAGAGAGAAAAAGAAGGAUUGCUGAGCAGUAGGUAACAUGCAAAUUGGCAAUAAUCCGGUCCUUUCAGAAAACCAGGUUCUAUCCACUAUUUGCUUGGGAUACCAGAAAAUUGAAGGAGGUUCAAAUUUUGGCCCCAAGAGCCAAAUGAUUUUAGGUAACAUUUUUUUUCCAAGUAUUAAGAUUAGUGGGGAAGAAGGGGCAUAUGUCAUCUCCUUUUCGAAGCUAUUUUGAUAUGCGUGAUACUUGAAAUUGAAGCAAUUAAUGACUCUAAAACUGAGCAAACUCUUGAUAUCAUAUUGACCCA
Molecule: RNA transcript, 1789 nt
Organism: Vitis vinifera (wine grape)
Lineage: Eukaryota; Viridiplantae; Streptophyta; Magnoliopsida; Vitales; Vitaceae
Gene name: protein SRG1-like
Exons: 6
Source: RefSeq, a predicted model, not a curated record